AAGUUAAGAUGAGGUCAUCCUGGAUUGACAGUGGGCCCUAAGUUCAGUGCCAAGUAUCCUUAUGACAGUCAGAGAAGAUGACGCAGACACGGGACAGAGCAGGCCGUGGGGAGACAGAGGCAGAGGCUGGAGUGACACAGCUACCAGCCAAAGAGCACCAAGGUUGGCUGGAGCCCCCAGCAGCGGGACAGAGGCGCAGAACAUAUGACCACAGGAGCACCUGGAAAGGACCAAACCCAGCAACAGUUGAAUUUGGACUUUUAGCCUCCAGAACCAUGAGAAAGUAAGACUCUGCUGGACUGUGGCACGCACCCGGAACACCCAUCCAGCCGCCCUGAAGGAUGCAGGCCUCUCCGCCUUUGGUUCUCCUGUGCCUCUUCAGCUCUCAGAAAUCUGCACCAUGACUCCGAUUUGACUGAUGGAGACCCAGAUACCCAGAGAGAUUAAGCAGCUCCGGCCAGGCCAUGGCUUACAUUCCAGCUCCCUCUCACUGGGUGACAACUGGCUCCCUCUGUCCCCCACGUGCCUUCUUCAGCUUGCUGCCUUUGCUGGGGAAGUGCCCACUCAGGACAGCUGAGGAGACGGAGCCACGGAGGUUGACAUAGGAGGUGAUGGAACAGCCAGUUUUCCUGCUGAGCCCAUCCGUAUAGACAGCCGGCAUGCAUUGAUGUGUCUCUCUCCCAGCUUCAACCCCUGUCUGCAGAGCUGGAGUCUCCGACUGUUCCCGCAUGUCCCUUCUCUGUUGUUACCUGCAGUCCAGACAAAAAUGGCAUAGUAAAAUAAAAGUUGAGAGAAUGC
This 798-nucleotide long non-coding RNA is filed under the name Homo sapiens (human). RNAcentral describes it as "HSALNT0387629". The record is from RNAcentral. Lineage: Eukaryota; Metazoa; Chordata; Mammalia; Primates; Hominidae.